AUUGAACGCUGGCGGCAGGCCUAACACAUGCAAGUCGAAUGGUAACAGGAAACAGCUUGCUGUUUCGCUGACGAGUGGCGGACGGGUGAGUAAUGUCUGGGAAACUGCCUGAUGGAGGGGGAGAACUACUGGAAACGGUAGCUAAUACCGCAUAACGUCGCAAGACCAAAGAGGGGGACCUUCGGGCCUCUUGCCCUCAGAUGUGCCCAGAUGGGAUUAGCUAGUAGGUGGGGUAACGGCUCACCUAGGCGACGAUCCCUAGCUGGUCUGAGAGGAUGACCAGCCACACUGGAACUGAGACACGGUCCAGACUCCUACGGGAGGCAGCAGUGGGGAAUAUUGCACAAUGGGCGCAAGCCUGAUGCAGCCAUGCCGCGUGUAUGAAGAAGGCCUUCGGGUUGUAAAGUACUUUCAGCGGGGAGGAAGGGAGUAAAGUUAAUACCUUUGCUCAUUGACGUUACCCGCAGAAGAAGCACCGGCUAACUCCGUG
RNAcentral lists this ribosomal RNA (490 nucleotides) under uncultured bacterium. Its description in RNAcentral is "partial 16S ribosomal RNA". It matches the Rfam family "Bacterial small subunit ribosomal RNA", at positions 30 to 507 of the family's 1533-position model. The record is from RNAcentral.